GACGAACGCUGGCGGCGUGCUUAACACAUGCAAGUCGAACGGAAAGGCCCUGCUUUUGUGGGGUGCUCGAGUGGCGAACGGGUGAGUAACACGUGAGUAACCUUCCCUUGACUUUGGGAUAACUUCAGGAAACUGGGGCUAAUACCGGAUAGGAGCUCCUGCUGCAUGGUGGGGGUUGGAAAGUUUCGGCGGUUGGGGAUGGACUCGCGGCUUAUCAGCUUGUUGGUGGGGUAGUGGCUUACCAAGGCUUUGACGGGUAGCCGGCCUGAGAGGGUGACCGGCCACAUUGGGACUGAGAUACGGCGCGGACUCCUACGGGAGGCAGCAGUGGGGAAUAUUGCACAAUGGGCGGAAGCCUGAUGCAGCAACGCCGCGUGCGGGAUGACGGCCUUCGGGUUGUAAACCGCUUUCGCCUGUGACGAAGCGGGAGUGACGGUAAUGGGUAAAGAAGCACCGGCUAACUACGUG
Molecule: ribosomal RNA, 468 nt
Filed under: uncultured bacterium
Lineage: Bacteria
Description: partial 16S ribosomal RNA
Rfam family: Bacterial small subunit ribosomal RNA
Source: RNAcentral